GGGGAGGCGACCGGAGAUGUGGGUGGGAGAACGAAAAGCAAGUGAACAAAGAACACAUAUACAUAGUUGUGUAUACUUUGACGCGAAAUUUCAAAAACCAUUGUAAUAUUUAGUGACAAUCAACAUUCAAGAGUGAGAAAAAAGUCAAUCAUUCAAUUCAAAUAUUUAACACAAUUAACAAAAAAAUAAAACCUAAAAUGUUGUAAGAUCAUAGGGAAAAUGAAUGAUCACACCAACAUGACUUAUAUUUCUGCCACAAUAACAUGAUGCAAAUUUCUGAUAUACAAGUUUCAACAUAAUAAACCAGUAGCCUGCUACAUCCUGCACCUUGUUUUUUAAAUCACUGGAAGCCAAUUUCAGCUUCUUCAAAAUCACACACUGACUGUGCUACCACUAGAUCAUAGACUAAAAUCAAAAUAUUUACAAUUCUCCAACCACCAUUUAUAUUUUAUUUAGCUUCUUCAACCUAAAUCUGUCAAAAAUCUAGCUACAUGAAAUUUUAGGUUGAUUCAAUUAAUUCUUUAUUCAACUUCUACCCACUGCAACACCAUUACCAACAAGGAUAUGAGGAUCAAAACUUUUAAACUCAAAAACCAAGUAGCUUAAAAACAUAGUAGACACUCUUUUGUUGGUUGUGAAAAUGUUAAAUAUUUAAUCCCUGUUAUGUCUUGCGCUGGUUACUAAAGUUGAUUGAUAAUAAUUAACAUCCAUAAUGUCUAUACUUAAUUAUACAAUUCAUUUAGUAGUAAUUGAAUUUUAGUCAACUCCUUGAAUGUCUAUUCAUUUAAUGCGUUUUGCAUUUUUUACAACAGUUAUAUCACAACAGCAACAGCCACAUUUCCAUUUCAAACAAUUGCAACUGUGUAAAACUUAAAUGUUGUUAAAUAAGGUAUAAUAUUUAAAUAUUAAUAAGCAAGCAGUACAAUAAAUCAAUCACGAAAUAGUGCUAAAACUGCAUCCUUCAACUUCUAAACCAGCUAGAACAAAUAACAGAAAAUAUAAGAAAUUUGCUGCAGUGAAUAACUACUACAGUUUAAUGUGCUCCCAAAAAAGGAAAUCAGCCCACCUUUGUACAAGAACAAAGUUAUCAAUUCAGCGCCAUUUGAAAAAGAAAUUUGAAACAUUAGAAAACGUCAACAUAGAGCAUCCAAAUCAUAGAAUCAUAUAAUGAAGG
RNAcentral lists this unclassified non-coding RNA (1174 nucleotides) under Hevea brasiliensis (rubber tree). Lineage: Eukaryota; Viridiplantae; Streptophyta; Magnoliopsida; Malpighiales; Euphorbiaceae. The record is from RNAcentral.